Molecule: ribosomal RNA, 751 nt
Filed under: Robillarda sessilis
Lineage: Eukaryota; Fungi; Ascomycota; Sordariomycetes; Amphisphaeriales; Sporocadaceae
Description: eukaryotic LSU rRNA
Rfam family: Eukaryotic large subunit ribosomal RNA
Source: RNAcentral
AACAGCUCAAAUUUGAAAUCUGGCCUUCUGGUCCGAAUUGUAAUUUGUAGAGGAUGAUUUUGGUGCGGUACCUUCCGAGUUCCUUGGAACAGGACGCCUUAGAGGGUGAGAGCCCCGUACGGUUGGAUGCCUAGCCUUUGUAAAUCUCCUUCGACGAGUCGAGUAGUUUGGGAAUGCUGCUCUAAAUGGGAGGUAAAUUUCUUCUAAAGCUAAAUAUUGGCCAGAGACCGAUAGCGCACAAGUAGAGUGAUCGAAAGAUGAAAAGCACUUUGAAAAGAGGGUUAAAUAGCACGUGAAAUUGUUGAAAGGGAAGGAUUUAUGACCAGACUUUUUCUAGGCGGAUCAUCCGGUGUUCUCACCGGUGCACUUUGUCUAGUUUAGGCCAGCAUCGAUUUUCGGCAGCGGAUAAAAGCUUCAGGAAUGUGGCUCCUCCGGGAGUGUUAUAGCCUGUUGUAUAAUACGCCGCUGGGGAUCGAGGUACGCGCUUCUGCAAGGAUGCUGGCGUAAUGGUUAUCAAUCACCCGUCUUGAAACACGGACCAAGGAGUCGAACAUUUAUGCGAGUGUUUGGGUGUUAAACCCUCACGCGUAAUGAAAGUGAACGGAGGUGAGAGCCCUUACGGGUGCAUCAUCGACCGAUCCUGAUGUUUUCGGAUGGAUUUGAGUAAGAGCAUAACUGUUCGGACCCGAAAGAUGGUGAACUAUGCGUGGAUAGGGUGAAGCCAGAGGAAACUCUGGUGGAGGCUCGCAGC